This is a long non-coding RNA of Struthio camelus australis, 1656 nucleotides long. The record is from Ensembl. NCBI's taxonomy places the organism in Eukaryota, Metazoa, Chordata, Aves, Struthioniformes, Struthionidae.
GACGCGGUGGCGGCCGUCACCCCCCCGGCGCAGGGGGCGGCGCGGAAGCAAAACCCACGCAGAGGGAACGGUAUUUCCAGGUUUCUGUUUAAUUUCAAGGGGAAAAAAAAAAAUCACAUUUAAAUUACAACUUAACCGGGGAUUUAAUGUGGUCUCUUCUGGAUAGAUUUAAUAAACUUUGUUCUGAAGGGGGGAUUUAUUUGUUGCAGCGUUAAAUAAUUGCAUAUUCAAGAUUUUGUGAAAUGGGUGACGGGGGAAGAACGGCGGAAAGACGUUUAUAAAAAACAUUAUUUACAAAAAAUGAUAUCCACAUAUUUGUCUCCUAAGCUAUAAGGCAAGUUAACAUUUAAAAUAUGUUGUUUCAUGAUUAUCUUCAACAAGCCAAUACAACACAUUCAGGUUACCAGUGGUCAAAUACAAGCUCUGCUGCGCUAGUCCGGACGCAAACAGCCGCCGUCACCUCUCGUACAGCUUUUCUCUGAGAGCAGCAGGGAAGCAGCGAGGGUUUCAUCACCGACUACGCAGCACCUAGGCCAUCCUGGACUAAAGGUAUGCUAUAUUUCAUUGCACGUGUAGGCAAAAAAGGCCAGCCGUUAACUUAGUCAACUUAAAUCUUAAAAAUAGACUUGUGUAUCUUAAUCCACAAAUAUUUAUAAACACUUUAUACACAAGGGGGCUUCAUAAAAGGAUACCGCCUAUAUAGAGGGGAAGCCUGGGAAAUCUGGUGUUCCCGCGCGCGUGUGCGGCGCUGCAGGUGUUCCCGCGUGUGUGCAGCACGGCAGGUGUUCACAGACGUGUGUGUGCGGCGCUGCAGGUGUUCCCGCGUGUGUGCAGCGCGGCAGGUGUUCACAGACGUGUGUGUGCGGCGCUGCAGGUGUUCCCACGUGUGUGCAGCGCGGCAGGUGUUCGCACGCGUGUGUGUGCGGCGCUGCAGGUGUUCCCGCGUGUGUGCAGCGCGGCAGGUGUUCACAGACGUGUGUGUGCGGCGCUGCAGGUGUUCCCGCGUGUGUGCAGCGCGGCAGGUGUUCACAGACGUGUGUGUGCGGCGCUGCAGGUGUUCCCGCGUGUGUGCAGCGCGGCAGGUGUUCACAGACGUGUGUGUGCGGCGCUGCAGGUGUUCCCGCGUGUGUGCAGCGCGGCAGGUGUUCACAGACGUGUGUGUGCGGCGCUGCAGGUGUUCCCGCGUGUGUGCAGCGCGGCAGGUGUUCACAGACGUGUGUGUGCGGCGCUGCAGGUGUUCCCGCGUGUGUGCAGCGCGGCAGGUGUUCACAGACGUGUGUGUGCGGCGCUGCAGGUGUUCCCGCGUGUGUGCAGCGCGGCAGGUGUUCACAGACGUGUGUGUGCGGCGCUGCAGGUGUUCCCGCGUGUGUGCAGCGCGGCAGGUGUUCACAGACGUGUGUGUGCGGCGCUGCAGGUGUUCCCGCGUGUGUGCAGCGCGGCAGGUGUUCACAGACGUGUGUGUGCGGCGCUGCAGGUGUUCCCGCGUGUGUGCAGCGCGGCAGGUGUUCACAGACGUGUGUGUGCAGCGCGGCAGGUGUUCACAGACGUGUGUGUGCGGCGCUGCAGGUGUUCCCGCGUGUGUGCAGCACGGCAGGUGUUCACAGACGUGUGUGUGCGGCGGAGCAGGGGGGCGCCGGGGGGGGGAGGGGGGGAGGG